Molecule: non-coding RNA, 134 nt
Organism: Triticum aestivum (bread wheat)
Lineage: Eukaryota; Viridiplantae; Streptophyta; Magnoliopsida; Poales; Poaceae
Source: Rfam
CUAAUACUCCCUCCGUCCAAAAAUACUUGUCAUCAAAAUAAAUAAAAAAGGAUGUAUCUAGAUGUAUUUUAGUUGUAGAUGCAUCCCUUUUGUCCAUUUUGAUGACAAGUAUUUUCGGACGGAGGGGGUAACUU